This 497-nucleotide ribosomal RNA is filed under the name uncultured bacterium. RNAcentral's name for it is "partial 16S ribosomal RNA". It matches the Rfam family "Bacterial small subunit ribosomal RNA", at positions 28 to 507 of the family's 1533-position model. The record is from RNAcentral.
GACGAACGCUGGCGGCGUGCCUAAUACAUGCAAGUAGAACGCUGAAGAGAGGAGCUUGCUCUUCUUGGAUGAGUUGCGAACGGGUGAGUAACGCGUAGGUAACCUGCCUUGUAGCGGGGGAUAACUAUUGGAAACGAUAGCUAAUACCGCAUAACAAUAGGUGACACAUGUCAUUUAUUUGAAAGGGGCAAUUGCUCCACUACAAGAUGGACCUGCGUUGUAUUAGCUAGUAGGUGAGGUAACGGCUCACCUAGGCGACGAUACAUAGCCGACCUGAGAGGGUGAUCGGCCACACUGGGACUGAGACACGGCCCAGACUACUACGGGAGGCAGCAGUAGGGAAUCUUCGGCAAUGGGGGCAACCCUGACCGAGCAACGCCGCGUGAGUGAAGAAGGGUGUCGGAUCGUAAAGCUCUGUUGUAAGUCAAGAACGAGUGUGAGAGUGGAAAGUUCACACUGUGACGGUAGCUUACCAGAAAGGGACGGCUAACUACGUG